GUCCCAGUAGCGUAAGGGACAGCGCGUUGGAUUUUUAAUCCAAAGGUCGUGGGUUUAAUUACCACCUGGAAUG
This 73-nucleotide transfer RNA is filed under the name Trichonephila clavipes. It matches the Rfam family "tRNA". From Rfam's summary of the family: Transfer RNA (tRNA) molecules are approximately 80 nucleotides in length. Their secondary structure includes four short double-helical elements and three loops (D, anti-codon, and T loops). The record is from Rfam by way of RNAcentral. Lineage: Eukaryota; Metazoa; Arthropoda; Arachnida; Araneae; Nephilidae.